AUUGAAACGCUGGCGGCAUGCCGUUACACAAUGCAAGUCGAACGGUAACAGGUUAAGCUGACGAGUGGCGAACGGGUGAGUAAUAUAUCGGAACGUGCCCAAUCGUGGGGGAUAACGCAGCGAAAGUUGUGCUAAUACCGCAUACGAUCUACGGAUGAAAGUGGGGGACCGCAAGGCCUCACGCAGAAAGAUGAGCCGACGACCGAUUAGCUAGUUGGUAGGGUAAAUGGCUCACCAAGGCGACGACGGGUAGCCGGCCUGAGAGGGCGACCGGCCACACUGGGACUGAGACACGGCCCAGACUCCUACGGGAGGCAGCAGUGGGGAAUAUUGGGCAAUGGAGGAAACUCUGACCCAGCGACGCCGCGUGAGGGAUGAAGGCCUUCGGGUUGUAAACCUCUUUCAGUAGGGAAGAAGCGAAAGUGACGGCACCUACAGAAGAAGCACCGGCUAACUAUGUG
RNAcentral lists this ribosomal RNA (461 nucleotides) under uncultured bacterium. RNAcentral's name for it is "bacterial SSU rRNA". It matches the Rfam family "Bacterial small subunit ribosomal RNA", at positions 32 to 507 of the family's 1533-position model. The record is from RNAcentral.